This is an RNA transcript of Drosophila pseudoobscura, 1536 nucleotides long. RefSeq lists it as uncharacterized. The record is from RefSeq and is a predicted model, not a curated record. The transcript has 4 exons. Lineage: Eukaryota; Metazoa; Arthropoda; Insecta; Diptera; Drosophilidae.
AAUAUUCAAUUUAGUUACAGUUUCAGUCACAGUCUCCAUUUCGACAGUUGUUUUUGGCAACAAAAUUGUACUCCAGUAAAUAGAUUAGAUAUUUCUUCCUACAAAAUAUGAGCAAACCCUCAAAAACCUCGGAAAAGGGGGACAUUCCUAAACUACAGAAACGCAUUGCCAAAUGCAGAAGACGGCACAAGACCAAUCAAAAUGCAUUGCAGCGGCUGCAAUUGAGGAUUUUCAUCAGGAAAACUAUGAUCCUGGAGCUGGAGAAGAGACUUUUGGGCAAAAGAAAGCGCUAGACAGGGAGGAAGGGCAGCUAGAGAUCAUAGAACUGCAGGAGGAGGUCUACAGUUCUGAAGGGAAGGCUUUUCUUAACACAAACUAAAGGCGGAACCCUAAGGAAGAGAUUAAGAAUUGAAGAACUGCCGAGGAAACCUCUUGCUGGAAGAAGAAUCUCAAAUAGAAAACGCUAGGCAUUAAGAAAAGGCAUUUAAGGAGGCAGCUGGAGAUCAUAGAAGUGACGAAAGAGGUAUACAGAUCUGAAGAAAAGACUUUUGUUGCAAGGAAAAUUACCAGAAACUCAAGGCGGAACCCUAAUCCAGAGGUUGGGGUUUGAAGAACUGCUGAGAAGACUUGUCUGGGCGAAGAAUCUCAAUCAGAAAGAGCUAGAAACCCAUUGCAAGUCAGCUAGAUAUUACAGAACUAAGAUCUACAGAUCUGCAAGACCUGAAGAGAAGACUUUUCUUACCACAAACUAAAGGCGGAACCCUAAGGAAGAGACUAAAGAUUGAAGAGCUGCAGAUAAGACUUGUCUAGGAGCAGAAUCUCCAUGUGAUCUAUGAUCUCUAAAGAACAAAAAGAAACCUCCUUAAGCAGAUGAUGAUCAGGCAACAAAAUGACUCAAAAACCAUCCAGAAAUAACCUCAAGACAUUCGUUAUAUGGGAAACAGAAGAACUUACAAGAUAUUCAUGGGGAAACCUCUACAAAAAUAAGAGAUUACAGCACAAACUCGAUCCGCAAGCGCCACAAAAGCUUGUCUGAAAAGAAAUCCUGUCCAUCGCCAAGAAACCCCGACAACAACCCGUUCAAAAUCAAUUCCCUUUUGUCUCGAAUCGAACAAAAAUAAACUAUAACAGAAUCAAACCAAAUCAAAGCAACUGAAGGGAAGUAAUGGUAUCCUUUACGGGUAUAUCCUUGUGUUGAAUGGAAAGUUUUCCACAACAUUAAUAAAUAUUUACAGGCACGUCGCGUUCUUCCACCAAAUGGUCCAAUGGUCCAGUCGUCGUCGUCGUCUCCUUUUCUUGGGCCAUGAAAUCAAAUCAAAUAUGCGCGCCUGAUGCUCUUCCUGCCUCCCUGCGAAGGCGUGCUCACAGGAAUUUAAAUCAUUCGAAGGACUUACAUGCUACUUACAACAGCCAAAGAGUAGCCUAUAUGGAGCCAAGGAUGUGUGUGUGUGUGUGUGUGGAUAGACAGAUAGAUAGAUGGGCCAUCCCUCAGCUCUUGGCGAUGCCACGUUUUGGGGCAAGUUUUAUUAUUAUGUU